UUAAAUGAGAUGAUUCUGUAUAUAUAUAAGUAUACUUUGUUCUUUCUUUUUAGAUUGUUUAAACAUCAUCAAAUCAUUUCUAUCAUCUAGUUAGAAUGAAGAAACACUUUCGAUUCUCGUUAAUCGUUUUAACUAUUUUCAUAGUUUUCGUGUUAAGUAUAUAUCUAUAUUUAAAAUAGGUUUAACGUAUUACAAAUAAUAUUUUUUACGAAUAUCAUGUUAUAUUUACCUUUUAAUAUCAAGUCAGAUCUAUAAUGUCAGAAUAUCAAUAUUUUUGAUACGAAUGUAAUACUAUAUUUUACAGUUUAAAUCUGUUACUAAAAUUGUAUGUUAAUUAUGAUUACAGGAGUGGUGGGAAACAAGAAGCAACCACGAUGGGAUCCCAACACACGAUAUUGUCAGGAGACUCUUGAGUAAAGAGGAAACUUGUAAUAUCCAAGAAUGUGGCGUGGUGUGUGUGCUGAAGAGGCAGGGGCAGGCUCGUUGCUAUGGUGAUUCCAAAGCUGGUUACGAGUGUCUUUGUCUGUAUCCUUGUUCUAAAUAAUUACAAUAAAACUCAGAUCAAAUAAAUGACAAAGAAAUAAAAAGUAGAGUAAUAUAUAUAUAUAUAUUUUUACUGGGUUUAUAGUUUAUGAUUUGUAUUAUGCCAC
RNAcentral lists this long non-coding RNA (650 nucleotides) under Eutrema salsugineum. Its description in RNAcentral is "long non-coding RNA (ESAL_LNC001478)". Lineage: Eukaryota; Viridiplantae; Streptophyta; Magnoliopsida; Brassicales; Brassicaceae. The record is from RNAcentral.